Molecule: ribosomal RNA, 868 nt
Filed under: uncultured fungus
Lineage: Eukaryota; Fungi
Description: bacterial SSU rRNA
Rfam family: Eukaryotic small subunit ribosomal RNA
Source: RNAcentral
AUAUGCGGACCGGGCGGUUCUUUUUUUUCUUGGGUUUAUAUAGGGUCCCUCCUAGAUGAAUCAAUUGGGGUACAGUCGGGGGCCAAUCAUUAAUCCACUGGUAGAGAGUGAAAUUUCUUGGAUUCAGUUGAAGACUUAACUCCUGUGAAAGCCAUCUGCCCAAAGGAUGUUUUCAUUUAAUCAGAGACGAAAAGUUAGGUGGAUUGAUAGGCGCUCAGAUACCCGUUCGUAGUCUUUAACCCAUAAACUAUGGCGAGCUAGGGAUCGGGACGGUGUUACUCAUGGACCCGUCCGGCACCCUACGAGAUAUCAAAGUGCUUGGGCUCCAGGGGGGAGUAUGUUCGCAAAGGCUGAAACUUAAAGAAAAUUGACGGAAAGGGCCCCUCCAGGGGUGGAGCCUGCGAGCUUUAAUUUGACUCAGCACGGGGAAACUCACCAGGUCCAGACACAAUAAGGAUUGACAGAUUGAGAGCUCUUUCUUGAUUUAGUGGGUGGUGGUGCAUGGCCGUUCUUAGUUGGUGGGGUGACUUGUCUGCUUAAUUGCGAUAACGAACGAGACCUCAACCUGCUAAAUAGCCCGCAUUGCUCCGGCAGUGCGCUGGCUUCUUAGAGGGACUUUCGGCUCAAGCCGAAGGAAGUUUGAGGCAAUAACAGGUCUGUGAUGCCAUUAGAUGUUCUGGGCCGCACGCGCGCUACACUGACGGGGUCAGCGAGUUCCUUGGCCGAAAGGCCCGGGUAAUCUUGUUAGCCCCCGUCGUGCUGGGGAUAGAGCAUUGCAAUUAUUGCUCUUCAACGAGGAAUCCCUAGUAAGCGCAAGUCAUCAGCUUGCGUUGAUUACGUCCCUGCCCUUUGCUAAGCGCCGCCCGUC